This 689-nucleotide ribosomal RNA is filed under the name Elizabethkingia miricola. RNAcentral describes it as "bacterial SSU rRNA". It matches the Rfam family "Bacterial small subunit ribosomal RNA", at positions 833 to 1533 of the family's 1533-position model. The record is from RNAcentral. Lineage: Bacteria; Pseudomonadati; Bacteroidota; Flavobacteriia; Flavobacteriales; Weeksellaceae.
UUAGGAUUCAGAGACUAAGCGAAAGUGAUAAGUAAUCCACCUGGGGAGUACGUUCGCAAGAAUGAAACUCAAAGGAAUUGACGGGGGCCCGCACAAGCGGUGGAGCAUGUGGUUUAAUUCGAUGAUACGCGAGGAACCUUACCAAGACUUAAAUGGGAAAUGACAGAUUUAGAAAUAGAUCCUUCUUCGGACAUUUUUCAAGGUGCUGCAUGGUUGUCGUCAGCUCGUGCCGUGAGGUGUUAGGUUAAGUCCUGCAACGAGCGCAACCCCUGUCACUAGUUGCUAACAUUAAGUUGAGGACUCUAGUGAGACUGCCUACGCAAGUAGAGAGGAAGGUGGGGAUGACGUCAAAUCAUCACGGCCCUUACGUCUUGGGCCACACACGUGCUACAAUGGCCGGUACAGAGGGCAGCUACCUAGUGAUAGGAUGCAAAUCUCGAAAGCCGGUCUCAGUUCGGAUUGGAGUCUGCAACUCGACUCUAUGAAGCUGGAAUCGCUAGUAAUCGCGCAUCAGCCAUGGCGCGGUGAAUACGUUCCCGGGCCUUGUACACACCGCCCGUCAAGCCAUGGAAGCUGGGGGUACCUGAAGUCGGUGACCGUAAAAGGAGCUGCCUAGGGUAAAACUAGUAACUAGGGCUAAGUCGUAACAAGGUAGCCGUACCGGAAGGUGCGGCUGGAACAUCUCAUUU